CAGUCGCCACGGGAAUACGUAGGGUGCGAGCGUUAAUCGGAUUUACUGGGCGUAAAGCGUGCGCAGGCGGCCCGUUAAGACAGGUGUGAAAUCCCUGGGCUCAACCUAGGAAUUGCGCUUGUGACUGGCGGGCUCGAGUACGGUAGAGGGGGGUGGAAUUCCUGGUGUAGCAGUGAAAUGCGUAGAGAUCAGGAGGAACACCGAUGGCGAAGGCAGCCCCCUGGGCCUGUACUGACGCUCAUGCACGAAAGCGUGGGGAGCAAACAGGAUUAGAGACCCCGGUAGUCCCUGUCUCUUAUAC
This 301-nucleotide ribosomal RNA is filed under the name uncultured bacterium. Its description in RNAcentral is "partial 16S ribosomal RNA". It matches the Rfam family "Bacterial small subunit ribosomal RNA", at positions 509 to 807 of the family's 1533-position model. The record is from RNAcentral.